This 253-nucleotide ribosomal RNA is filed under the name uncultured bacterium. RNAcentral describes it as "partial 16S ribosomal RNA". It matches the Rfam family "Bacterial small subunit ribosomal RNA", at positions 524 to 776 of the family's 1533-position model. The record is from RNAcentral.
UACGAAGGGGGCUAGCGUUGCUCGGAAUCACUGGGCGUAAAGGGUGCGUAGGCGGGUCUUUAAGUCAGGGGUGAAAUCCUGGAGCUCAACUCCAGAACUGCCUUUGAUACUGAGGAUCUUGAGUUCGGGAGAGGUGAGUGGAACUGCGAGUGUAGAGGUGAAAUUCGUAGAUAUUGGGAAGAACACCGGUGGCGAAGGCGGCGACCUGGUCUGAUACUGACGCUGAGGCGCGAAAGCGUGGGGAGCAAACAGG